This is a non-coding RNA of Penaeus vannamei (Pacific white shrimp), 1369 nucleotides long. Lineage: Eukaryota; Metazoa; Arthropoda; Malacostraca; Decapoda; Penaeidae. The record is from RefSeq and is a predicted model, not a curated record.
GUGUGUGUAUGUGAGAGUGUGCGUGUGUGUGCGUGUGUUUAUAUAUGUGUGUGUGCGUACGUAUGUGCUCACUAAUGCCGCCGAGUCAAUUUGUCAAUCAACCAUCAAUCAGAAUAAUUCCCACUGAACUUUCUGCCGAAAUCCGACGCUGCCCAAAUGAUGGUAUUUUUCCUCGCUUCUCCGAUUCCGGGAACCUGCUAUCUUAUCUGCCCAGCAUACGACUCGACUCAAUUUGUACGCGAGUAAACUAUGAUUUGCAGAAGGCCCACCGAAGGAGACCGCGAGCGUCGUCGUCCUACAGCAGAGUCGCCGGGUGCAGCUCGUGUCACCCUCAGGCCCGCGGCGUAGUCCCUUCGGCGCCACCUCGGGCCAGGGCCACGGCUGCCCACGUGCCAUUCUGUAGCUUGCGCCCGACCUGAGGCGGCCCAGAGCCUAGAGAUUAUAAAGUAAAUAAAUAGAUAAAUAAAUAAUAAUAAUAGCUUUGCACUUUCCUUUCAGACUGAAAUCCUUCCGACACUACAUUUGUCGAAUUGACUUUUUGAAGCCCUUGUCGGUAAUAAUAAAUCUCCGUUCACAAAAAAAUCUGCAUUCAGUUGUAUUCAAAUAUUUGUGAACAAACUACGAGCUAUAAACAGUGAACGAACACCUCAGAUGUAGCUGUAUGAAGCGAGUUGUAUGAAGUUCCUACCUGCAACCAGGCCGAUUUUCGAGGCCAGAAUAGCACCAGUUACUUCAUAUUUUUUCUGAAGUUCCAUGUGCUUUUUUCUGGAAUCUCUCUUUGGAAUGGAGAUCCGGGUAUGAUUGUUCAAGCAUUGUUUGGCGGAAAAUCGUUUAAUGGUAUUCAACAUUAAGAUACGCUUCGGCAAACUGAAUGGUCCUUUAUUUUAACCUGGGAAAACAAAUAGAAUUCCAGCUGGGGAUGUAUAUCUUCAAGCAAUUUAUGAAAACUAUUGAUAUAUUUGUCUAGAGUCACUUUUCGUUCAGUACUCGAUGGAGAGACGCAAUAGUCCUUUUUCGCUCUGCAAUCGAUGAAUAGACGCAAAUUUGAUAAGACCUUAAAUCCACAAAAUUUUCUGGGCAUUUUCACUCAAACCAUGAUUAGUUUACGAGCAUUACGAUGAACAAAACCUUUUCAAAACCCGCUUCCCUCAACCACGUGCCUGUCUGGCUGUUCGAGUCACCGGCCCCGCUCGCAGUAUUCGGAAAUCAUAUGUUUUCCAUUUCUCAAAAUUGCCUGCACGUUCAAUACACCACUGAUUCACAGUUUUCCCAUAGUGACUCAGUAAGCAACUUCAAUUAAUUCAUUGAUAUUGGUGAGUCAAGAGACACAGGAUGUUUUGACAUCAAUAGUCUUAAAAAAAAAAAAAAA